This 28-nucleotide transfer RNA is filed under the name Senticolis triaspis. RNAcentral describes it as "partial tRNA-Ser". Lineage: Eukaryota; Metazoa; Chordata; Lepidosauria; Squamata; Colubridae. The record is from RNAcentral.
GAGGGUGUUAUAAGAUUUGCUAACUCUU